AGUGAACGCUGGCGGUAGGCCUAACACAUGCAAGUCGAACGGCAGCACAGGAGAGCUUGCUCUCUGGGUGGCGAGUGGCGGACGGGUGAGGAAUGCAUCGGAAUCCACUUUUUCGUGGGGGAUAACGUAGGGAGACUUACGCUAAUACCGCAUACGACCUACGGGUGAAAGCAGGGGAUCUUCGGACCUUGCGCGAUUGAAUGAGCCGAUGUCGGAUUAGCUAGUUGGCGGGGUAAAGGCCCACCAAGGCGACGAUCCGUAGCUGGUCUGAGAUGAUGAUCAGCCACACUGGAACUGAGACACGGUCCAGACUCCUACGGGAGGCAGCAGUGGGGAAUAUUGGACAAUGGGCGCAAGCCUGAUCCAGCCAUACCGCGUGGGUGAAGAAGGCCUUCGGGUUGUAAAGCCCUUUUGUUGGGAAAGAAAUCCAGCUGGUUAAUACCCGGUUGGGAUGACGGUACCCAAAGAAUAAGCACCGGCUAACUUCGUGCCAGCCGCCGCAGUAA
RNAcentral lists this ribosomal RNA (506 nucleotides) under uncultured bacterium. RNAcentral's name for it is "partial 16S ribosomal RNA". It matches the Rfam family "Bacterial small subunit ribosomal RNA", at positions 29 to 523 of the family's 1533-position model. The record is from RNAcentral.